UAGUGAACCUGCGGAAGGAUCAUUGUUG
RNAcentral lists this ribosomal RNA (28 nucleotides) under Hedychium flavescens. Its description in RNAcentral is "partial 18S ribosomal RNA". The record is from RNAcentral. Lineage: Eukaryota; Viridiplantae; Streptophyta; Magnoliopsida; Zingiberales; Zingiberaceae.